GGGCCGGCAAGACAACUAUUCAACGAGUAUCUGAGUCGAUAGACUUGGGAAAUCUUUUGAAAAUAGUUCGUGAUGGGGAUUGAUGCUUGUAAUUUUUCAUCAUGAACGAGGAAUUCCUAGUAAAUGCAAGUCAUCAACUUGCGUUGAUUACGUCCCUGCCCUUUGUACACACCGCCCGUCGCACCUACCGAUUGGAUGAUCCGGUGAACACUUUGGAUUUUUAAUUAUUUAUCGGCUUGCUGGUAGAUAGUUGAAGAGAAGUCGUGUAAAUCUUAUCAUCUAGAGGAAGGUGAAGUCGUAACAAGGUUUCCGUAGGUGAACCUGCGGAAGGAUCAUUA
This 338-nucleotide non-coding RNA is filed under the name Blastocystis hominis. RNAcentral describes it as "Eukaryotic small subunit ribosomal RNA". It matches the Rfam family "Eukaryotic small subunit ribosomal RNA", at positions 1484 to 1831 of the family's 1831-position model. The record is from Rfam by way of RNAcentral. Lineage: Eukaryota; Bigyra; Opalinata; Blastocystidae.